Molecule: ribosomal RNA, 393 nt
Filed under: uncultured Wolbachia sp.
Lineage: Bacteria; Pseudomonadati; Pseudomonadota; Alphaproteobacteria; Rickettsiales; Anaplasmataceae
Description: bacterial SSU rRNA
Rfam family: Bacterial small subunit ribosomal RNA
Source: RNAcentral
AUACCUAUUCGAAGGGAUAGGGUCGGUUCGGCCGGAUUUCACACAGGUGUUGCAUGGCUGUCGUCAGCUCGUGUCGUGAGAUGUUGGGUUAAGUCCCGCAACGAGCGCAACCCUCAUCCUUAGUUACCAUCAGGUAAUGCUGGGGACUUUAAGGAAACUGCCAGUGAUAAACUGGAGGAAGGUGGGGAUGAUGUCAAGUCAUCAUGGCCCUUAUGGAGUGGGCUACACACGUGCUACAAUGGUGGCUACAAUGGGCUGCAAAGUCGCGGGGCUAAGCUAAUCCCUUAAAAGCCAUCUCAGUUCGGAUUGUACUCUGCAACUCGAGUGCAUGAAGUUGGAAUCGCUAGUAAUCGUGGAUCAGCACGCCACGGUGAAUACGUCUCGGGUCUGACA